AGCUCUAAUAGCGUAUAUUAAUGUUGUUGCAGUUAAAAAGCUCGUAGUUGGAUUUUGGUGUUUGACAAAUGGUCUGCCUUCGGGUCUGCACUGUUUGUUGGCACUUCUUUUCUGGGGAACUCACUGCUCUUAAUUGAGGGGUGCUGUAACGCAGAUCGUUUACUUUGAAAAAAUUAGAGUGUUCAAAGCAGGCCAACGCAUUGAAUACAUUAGCAUGGAAUAAUGGAAUAGGACUUUGGUCUUAUUUUGUUGGUUUCUAAGGCCGAGGUAAUGAUUAAUAGGGAUAGUUGGGGGCGUUUAUAUUCCGUUGUCAGAGGUGAAAUUCUUGGAUUUACGGAAGAUAAACUACUGCGAAAGCAUUCGCCAAGGAUGUUU
RNAcentral lists this ribosomal RNA (375 nucleotides) under uncultured eukaryote. RNAcentral's name for it is "SSU rRNA". It matches the Rfam family "Eukaryotic small subunit ribosomal RNA", at positions 587 to 969 of the family's 1831-position model. The record is from RNAcentral.